AUGGAAUCCACUGAGAGACAUGUUGCUAGGUCACAGGUGGAUCAGAAUAAUCUCUCAGGAGACUACUGGUCAUUUCCAGACAGUCACCUCUGUUUCUUCAGGCUGGUGCCAACAAACAAAAAAAGUGAGGGAGCCAUGCUAAAUUACAAGCACACAAGCUUAACGCUUUCAAUAAUGGUUUUCAUACUUCUUCUGGUUACACAGUGGUCCCCUGGAUGGGCAAUAUUUUCAAGGUAUUCUGUGCAACCCAGCUCACGUGGUGUGUGGACCUUCUGUUUCGAUGGGAAGUGCAGUUUCUUGAGUAGCAGAGAAGUAAGUUUGGUGAUCAUCCGGGGAUUCAUGCUUAUUGCUAUCUGUUCCUGUUACUUGGCCAUAUUGUGCUCAAUUGAUUGGACCAAUUACCUUGAGAGUUCCAAGGUCAUCAUCCUGGAAGGUCCCGUUGCUGCUGUGUUCACCUUUUUCACAUUUUUCUCUAUGCUGGGAGCUUUGUUGGUAUUUCACUUUACACCUUACCUGCCAUUGGAAAAAGAGGCGGAGAAGCUUUCUGAAAGAAAGAUGUUUUUCCUCACUUGUAUCAACUGUGGUCUGUGCUUUUUGACAGGACUAUUCAAGUUGGCUAUAUAUGGGUUCAGGCUCCAGAGAAGGAUACGUCACCGGAAAAGGAUGUUUCCUGUAUAACAAACCCACAUGCUUCAAUUCCUUGUAUAUUUAUACAUUUAAAAACAUAAUAUUAUAUAUUAUAUUUAUUGUAUAGAUUUAUGUAGGGAAUCCAAUGAUUUCCCCUUUUCUCCCACUUACUUUUUAUUAUUAUUAAAUGAUCCAUUUAUCUGAAAGAUUGAUGUGUCAGCCUUUCAUUCAGAUGUUUGUUCAGGAAACAUUUACCUGACGAGAAUACCGGACAGCUCUGCAGUCAUCUCUUGUUCACGGGGAAAGCACCAUGCAAAGGGUGAAAAGGGGUUCCUGCUGCCACUUCCAGCCAUCCUGAGAAUGGACAGUUAGGGGUCUCAGAAGAAAUGUCUGACGUGUACAGAAAGUGCACCACUAGUGCAUCAGUUGACAAAAAUGGAUGUCACCUUGAGAUAGGUGGGUCUUCUCCAGAACUUGUGCAAGUAGCUUUUUGGACUAUUGUGGCAAUCUCCCUUGUCACUCAUUCUAUUCAUAUUCAUGAGCUGAUUUGCAUGAACCUAUGAGAGGACUGGAAAGGCAGAGUCAGCAGCUACAUGAGGCUUGGCGGGAGAAGGAGGAGUCAGAUAGCGAUUGGUUAGUCAGAGAGAGAGGGAACAGAUACUGAGAGAGAUUGAGCUGGUUAGGAAAAUAGCUAGAAAAGGUGGUAAUGAUCUAGCAAGAGAAAAGAAGUAUAUACUGAGAGAACUGUUGAUGUAUAAUGUUUGUAUUAUGUAUAAUGUUAUGUAUAUGCAUAAUAUAUAUAAUGUUUAUCUGAGAAACCUGUUACAGUAUUAUUCAAUCUGCUUCAUUUCAAUAAAUAAGUUCUGUUUCUGUUCA
This 1503-nucleotide long non-coding RNA is filed under the name Pogona vitticeps (central bearded dragon). RNAcentral describes it as "lncRNA (ENSPVIG00000019099.1)". Lineage: Eukaryota; Metazoa; Chordata; Lepidosauria; Squamata; Agamidae. The record is from RNAcentral.